RNAcentral lists this microRNA precursor (204 nucleotides) under Oryza nivara. Its description in RNAcentral is "MIR812 microRNA precursor family". The record is from Rfam by way of RNAcentral. Lineage: Eukaryota; Viridiplantae; Streptophyta; Magnoliopsida; Poales; Poaceae.
UCUGACUGACGCCGUUGAUUUUUUUAAAUAUGUUUAGCCGUUCGUCUUAUUUAAAAAAUUUAAGUAAUCAUUAAUUCUUUUCCUAUCAUUUGAUUCAUUGUUAAAUAUACUUUUAUGUAUACAUAUAGUUUUACAUAUUUCACAAAAGUUUUUAAUAAGACGAAUGGUUAAACAUGUGCUAAAAAGUCAACGGCGUCAAAUAUU